AGUCUCAGAUGGAAGGACACCUUUCAGUGGCCCUGAGCUCUGGGGUCCCCACCACCACCAAGACAUCUUCAGACGGGGGAAGCCGGUCUUGGCAACGGGCUGCAAGCUUUCUACAAGAAACUCACGUUCCUCUGUGGCUGAUUUCCACUCUGCUCCCCUGAAAACCUGCAAACAAGAGCCUGCACAUCAUCCUCAAGGACAGCUUUUGCCGAGAACGUGGCCUGAAGAGCAUCCAGCGAGGACCUGGGAUGUGCGCACGGUUGGCCCUGCCCCGUUGUCCUUUGCUUUCCGGGGCCGCCUGAGGCGGCCCAGCGCUGCCACCCGUGGGGGCUUAUCCCUGCACCCCAGCACCCCAGCACCAGCAGGGCUGGGAGGGGGCUGGGAGGCCCCCGCCUCAUUUUAAAGAAAAUAUGGGAAAGCAGGUGCCACUGCUGAAAAAAAAAUGGAGACACUUGCCCUCCCUUCGGUACCUCAAAGUUCUAACUGAAUUCCUCUUCCUCUCUACACCCCCGCCAGAAAAGUCCCGCCUGCUGUUAUUUGCCCCAAGGCCCAUGUUUGUCCAACAGGCAAACUGCAUUUGGGAAGUAAUGUAAGCUUUCACAUUUGAGGUUAAUCAAGUGCAACAAGGAUGCCUGUUCAAAUCCCAUCAUCCUCCCCCACCCCCGCCACCCCGGAGAGUCUGAAUGAGGGCAGUGGGUCGAUAGAAUCCCACCCAAAGUGAAGAAACGGGACAGUGUGUGUGUAACUCGCAGUGGCCUGGUCAUCAGUAAAGCCAUGGUGACCAUGGGAAAUUGCAAGAAGCUGUAAACAGCACGGAGCCCCCCCGCAGAUGGCUUUUGAGGGCCCCCCAGGGAACCCAGUUUGGGAACCGUGGGGCUAAGCCAACUAGGAUGGAGGCGCAACUCUUUGACAAUCCCACAGCCACUCCCACUUCCCCAUGGAGGGAGUCCUCACGCAGCAGGGUGCUCUGGAAAGCUAUUGAGACAUCGUGACUCUGCUGGUUUUUGCCCGUGUGACCUGGGGUAGAUGGCUUUCCCUCUCUGAGUUUCUGGGUCUCACUGCCUCCCUCCUGGGUUGUGAGUGCUCCGUAAGGCCUGGGUGUCUUUACUGUUGCCAUAACCUCUUGUUCAGGUCUCCUGACUUCCCACCCCUCAUGCCCUGACCGUGUCACUGGAUAUCUGUGACGAAAGCAGGUGCAGAGGGCUAGACGGCACCUGGAGCCCUUCUGAGAAGCCAUCUGUGAUGGGAUAGGGAGCCUGGAAGGGGAGGGAGGAGCCCAGGAGCGGGCAGGCUGGGGGCACCUGGAGAUAGUAGUUCUGGGGUGCAUCUGAGCUCUCCUCAACUUUAAUAUGCCCCAGAUCACCUGGGGAUCUUGUCCGAAUGCAGAUCCGGACGCAGCAGGCCUGGGCAGGGGCUCCCAGGUGAGGCAGCUGCUGGGGCUUCACUCUAACCCAAGGAGGAGGCCAGGCCACCGGUAUCUGGGAGAGAUGGCUCCAGAAAGGCCUGAGAGCCCCAGGACGUCCAUGCCUGGAUAGACGAUGCAACAUGAGGGUAAAAUUAUGUUUUCAACAAAAGAAAAGCCCUCUGCCUCCUAACAUGUAGAAAGAUCUCUCUUCCCACCCCCACGCAGCCCCAGGGGCCCGAAAGAAUGUGGUUUUCUCAGCACAGCUUCCCUCACUGAAGGGGGUGGAUUCGCUCUUAAAAAGUUGCCUGUAAAAUGAAUUUUUCUAUAUCAAAUGCUGUUUUCCCGCGGUUCGUGUUUUAAGACCAGGGUAGCGUUCCCACUGAGAAACCUCCAACUCGGGCCUUGGCAUUGAGGAUUCGACCCUUGCCCACUCUAGGGGUGGGGAGAGCACAGCCGGGCGCAUGUGCCGGGGGGCUACGGAACCCAGGAGAGCUGGAGCUGCAGAAUUUGGGAACCAAAAUCUAAGCCCUAAACAGUCCCCUAAUGGUCUGAUGUCCGUGGCCAGACACUGGCCUGGCACCCCUGACCAGUACCACCGAGUGUUAGACUGGUGAGACUGGCGGGAACUAGGGCAAACCAGCCCCUCAACUGGGAAGGGGGCCCUGACAGGCUGUCUGUCAUGGCGGGCCAGCCGCCAUGUCUUUGUGUAGAAUAUCAUAGGCCACACUCUGAAUGUCAGGCUGGGGGUGUUUUUGUUUUUACCCUGGGCAUAAUCCUUUAAUGUACUCAAGGAACUUGCUGUCAUGACAAUUUGGCUGUGUUUCCCAAAGAGCGCUCUGAAGCUCUGAGGCCAGAGUUCCACAAAGACUCCUGAGAAAUGCAGGGCUAGGAGAAGGCUAGGUCUCCUUGCCCAGAGGGGUCUGCUGGGAUAUGCCAAGGAGCACUGGGAAUCUCAAAUAAGAGACUCAAGUCAUGGUCUGCCCGCAAUGCACAGACUGUGCUUUUCCGGAGCCUAGUCUGGGAUCAGUACUCCAUAAAGCACACUGCGGGAAGCAAGUCCUCAUAACUAAAAAGUCUCCCCGUUCCUGUAUUAGUUACCUACAGCUGCAUAACAAAUCACCCCAAACUUAGGGGCCGAAGACCAUAAGCAUUUAUUCUCAAAGUUUCUAUGGGUAAGGCAUUGAGAAGUGGGUUAGCCGGAUGAUUCUGGCUCGUGGUCACUUUUGAGGUAGCUGCCAACGUGUUGGUGGGGGCUGUGUCAUCUGACAGCUUGACCGGGUCUGGACAAUGGGCUCCUCAGAUGGUGCACUCACAGGGCUGGCAAGGUGGAGAGCUCAGUUCCUUGCCACAGUUCCUUCCCUGUAGGGUUGCUUGAGUGCCCUUACAACAUGGUGGCUUCCCCCAGGGUGAGUGACCCCAGAGAGCAAAACUGAAGCCAUGGCGCCUUUUAUGACCGAACCUUGGGUCAUUUCUGCGGCAUCCUGUUGGUCACACAGGGCAGCCCUGUUCGCUGUGGGAAGGGCCUAUGGAGGUGUGAACAGUAGGAGGUAGGAAUCUUCUGGUGACCAUCUCGAAGGUUGACUGCCCAGUCGCCAUCACUUCAGUACAAGAAGGCCAGGAAGCAUGUCUCCUUUGCACAGUCGGGGUCUUACCAUUGAGUGCCAGUUAGUAACUCUGACAGGUGAACCUGCUAACCUGUGAUCUAGGGAGGGGAAGAGCACAUCAACCAACCAACACAACAACAGCAUCCGUAUUCAUCCAGCCCCCUUUCUUGAGCGCUCUCCGUGUGCUGGGCGUGUCACGGGCAUCAUGGCACUGUGCAAUCCUUGUCCCCAAGCGGUAGGUGCCACCACUAUCUCCAGGUUAGGCCACUCCUUUCUAUGAUGUGCCUAAAAUGAGAUGAUUUUGUGAUGAGGGCUAUAGUAACACAAGCAGGUCUACCUUCUGGAAGUUCAGAGACCCCGGUGAACCCAUGUGGAGAAGAGUGGAGAGUAAACUUAGGAUGGAUAAACGGAUAAUAAAGAGGUGAGAUAAAAUCUUGAUUUCAUGUACAUGAACAAGGCGUGGGGUCAGGGCGAGCCAGGGGAAUCUUGGGAGUACCAGAGCCUCACUGCUGUGAGAAGUGGUCCCAUCUCUAGACUGGGAGGCAGGGAGGCCGAGAGGUGAGGAGCAUGGACCUUAGGUGCCUGAGAUGCCUGCAUCCCAGGCCUGCUCAUUUGCUAUUAGCUGUGCGACCCCAGGCAAGUGACUUCACGGUCCUCAGUUUCCCCUCUGCAAAAUGGGGUGAUGCUGGUGAAGCCCUCACGUUGUAUUGAUUCCGAGAGAUGAUCCCUGGCCCAGCAUGAGGGCUCUGGAUUGCUUUAGCCUGACAAAGCUGGUGGCACUCCAGGUUCAAAGAACGCUUAUAGAAGCAUCACUGCCUGGAAGGUGCUUGCUCUGUGACCAGGAGUGGACUUGGAGCCCCAAAACAGACAUCAGCUGUUGUUUGGGUUACCCCUGGGCUGGAAGGAGCUCAGCCUCUCCUUCUGUUUGGGGCAUGUGCAGGCGUGGAGCCUGCCCAGCCCCUUCCUGUCCUGUUGGGGCAUGAUUUCAACAGAGGGAGCAUCCUGGGUGUGUUUCCCCCCCCCCCCCCAGAAAUCUCAAGCCGCUGAGCAGGACCUGGGGAGCUCUGGCUACAUGUGUUGUCCCAGCAAAUAGACCAGGCAUGGACUCUCAGGAAACGAAACGCGGGCACUGGUUCCUGACCCCUCAGCCUAGGCCUGGGCUGACGGAGGGGUUUGGAGUGGCAGGUGCCAAUGGCAGGUCUUUGGGUCAGACUGACCUGGGAGCACUUUGGCUCCAUCCCUUGGGGCUGUGUGACUCCGGGCAAGUGCCUCAGCCUCUCUGGGCCUCAGUUUCUCCAUCCCCAAAAUGUGGGGAUGGACUCCCCUGCUGGCCCGCGGUCCAUUCUGAAGAGCCUGGGGCUGGCCAGGAGGACACAGAGCCUACGUGGGUGUGCACGGGGUAAGUCCAAGGACCCCCCCUUCCUCUCCAAUCAGGGCAACUCCAUUUUCAUCUCCUUGGUAUGUCAGUGUUCUAAGUAAUACUUCAUUAAAAAGAAGAAGAAGGAAAAAGAAGAAAAGAAAACACGUCCACAGUGAAAACAGUACGGUCAAGAAGUUUCCUACCAGCUUACUCUGUCCUCUGGCUCAUUCCUUCAAGCUCUAUGGGAGCAGAGGAGUAGACUCCUCCAUGAGCUGGGUUUAGUGACUGCCCAUUUCCAAACGGUUCUCGGUUUCCUGGGUUUGGGGGUCUCCUCUGUGGUGCCAAGGUCACGGGCAGGCUGGUCUCCUCCCCGGACACAUGUUGUGGGCAUGCCUGCCCCUCCGCCCCUGUGCCCGGGGCAUACCCACCACGGCCGGCCCAGGUCCGCCACACCUGCCUCUCACGGAAGCUGCCCCUGGGUCUGUUCCUUCACCUGGGAAGUGAGGAGGCUGUGGACCUGAUGAUCUCUCAGCUCUUCUUAACUUCAACGCUCUAAUUGCUGCAUUUAUUGAGGUCCAGCUGUCUGCAGAGCGGUGUCUGGGGCGUGGAAGGGGCCAACUACCACCCUGGUAGGAGGAGCCAACAUGCGCCUGUGGCCUCUGGCCGGCCUGGGGACAGCACGGCUCAGAGUGGCCACCCAGGCCCCAGGAGAAUCCAGUGCCAGGCCCGGCUGCCAGGCUGCCAUUUGAAAUGUCUCCUGUUGGUGGCACUUUGGCGUGGUUCAGGUGUUCUGGUCUUAGAGUGUAUUUGGUUUGUACUUGAAAACAUGUUAGCUCCCUCUCUCUGUGAAGAUUCUGUUUUUCACUCGAAGGAAUCAUAGGGCCUGGAGCUGGAUGAUUCCCCAGGUAGAACCCAUCCGUGGCUCCUUACUGCCCUCCGAAGACCAUCUAAGCCUGGGAGUGGCCCUAAGGCCUUCCGGAACCUGGCGAAGGCCAAGCCCUCCCAUCUGAGGGCUCUCCACCCCUUUACCCUCUCUCCUUCAGGCACACAGACUAGAACAUGCCCACCUCUCCCUCCCUCUUCUCUCUAGAGCCUCAUGCGGGCUGCAUCCUCUGCCUAGAACACUCCCUCUCCUCUUCUCAUGGCUCCCAAAAUGUCACUUCCCCCAGGAAGCCCUCCCUGCCUCAUUGAGCCACUUUAGUUCAUGCACAGGCUCACCCUGUACUUCUCCUUUGUAGCACUCAUCAUUGUAAUGAUGUAAAAAAAAACUCCUCUUUAUUUGACGGCCCUCCUUCCCUUCCCCGCCAUACCAGAAUGUGGGCUCCGUGAGGACCUCCCUGUCUGAUUACCCAGGUCCAGUGCCCAAGGAGAGCUCUGGAAAUGUCUGCUGAGUGAAUCCAUGACUGGAGACAGCCUGUUGAUUAAGGCUACAGCUCCACACAGCACGGAAGUCACUGUGCGACUCAGAUGGGACACUGUCUCCACCGAAGGCAAAGACCACUCCCCACCCCCCAGCCCUGGCCUGGCUCUUCAACUCAAGCCCUAGAGGCUCAGAAAGGAAGGUGGCUUUCACUGGCCUGGGCGCACCCCCCACCCCCGUCACCGCCCUGGCAUUGCCCACUGCUUAGCCUGUCCUGGGGACACUGGUCACCUCCAUUCCUCACCUCCGGGAGUGUGGAGUGAACGGGUGGAGGGCAAACUUGAGCUGGUUCUCGAAAGCCCGCUUUCCUUCCUUAUUCCCAACCUUUUCAAGGAAGGACCUUCACGGGUACCGCCCAGGCACAAAAACGGAUUUCUUUCUCCACAAGCACACGCCUUCUUUGGGAGACGCAGCAUUCCCUGGCACCCCAGAAUGAGCCCCGGCACCCCAGAAUGAGCUCCAUCCACUGACAGUAUUUACAAUGGACCGUCUGGGGAGGUGGCCUCUAUAGUCGUUCAGAGCAGAUUUGUAUCCCAGCUCCCACCUCCUUCCAACUUUGUGGCCGUGGCACGUCUUACUGAGCCUCAGUUUCCUUCUCUGUAAAGUGGAAUUAAGGGAAUUAAGGGAGAGGGUGGGUGAAAUGGGCAGCAGCAGGCUGUUUCCGCUAAGGCUCUGGGCCACUUGCCUUGCCCGGUCCCGCAGACAUUCAAUCCGUUUGGGGCUUGCUCAGGGUGUCCCCCCACCCCCCAUCCAGGCCCUGGGCUUUGCCUAAGCUGCCAGAGGAUGAUGGGCUCGGGAGCCCUCCGAGGCGCUGCCUUGGCCACAUCUGGUGGAAACAGCAGCGGAAGUACUGGGACCCCACAUGUCUGGAGGGUGGGGUAGGUGAUCUGUGUGAGCUACACAUUCCUAUGGGAAUCAAACACCCUGUUUACAGGUAAGGAGGCUCCAGAGAGGAGUGACUGGCCAGGCCAUGCAGACAUAGAGAGGGAUUUUAACCUGGAAAACCACACCAGUAACACCAAGGACCCUCCUACACUCUGUUCUGCCAUCACUUAUGGAUUCCUUACUUCAUGCCAGGCAAUGGCUGACCUACUUUAAUCCAACAACAUACCUAAGAGGGAGAUAGAUUGAGCCUCAUUUUCCCCCCCAGGAAACAGAGAGGUUGAUGUACUCACCCAGGGUCACACAGCUUGGAAGGAGCGGAGCCUGACUUUGAAUUCAGGCCACCUGCCUCCAGAGCCUGUGCUCUUGGCCAAUCUUCACACCUGGCUUGGGAACCUGGCCCUGCAUAGAGGGCUGGGCCACUUGGCUGAGUCCCUUAAGCCCCAGAGUCACAAAGUGAGGGAAGAAUCUUCAGCACCCACUGGGGGUGGGGAGGCGCUGUGCUAAAGGAUCACUGCCACGGGGUGAGGGUGAGGGGAGCUCGGAGGGGCCAAGCCUCUUGCUCUAGGGCACACAGCCAGCUGAGCCAGGCCCCACGCCCAGGCUGAUGGGGGCUCCGCGUCCCUCCCCGCUCCCUGUCCGCGGUCCAGCGAGGCCCCGGCCGGCAAGGACCCCCACAGCCGGCUGGGCUCCAGUGGAAAGAUGGACAGAUGACGGCCGCCCCCUCCCAGGGCCUGCGGGCUGCGUGGCUUCGCCACCUCCUCCCGAGCAGGUUUCCUUUAAGAAACCAGAAGAUUGAUUUCCUGGCAGGCUCUGCGCCGAGGAGCCCGUCCAAAUGGUUUGCAUGUCUGCAUUUUUUACUGCUCCGUUUAAUAUGUAUGCAAAUGCCGGCCGGCUGCGCCCGCCCGGCCGCACAGUCACACGCGGCGCCCCAUUAAAGCGGCCGUCCGGGCGCGCGCCUCCUUCCAGGCGACGGGCUCGGGCCCUGAUAGAUGGGGUGCGGGGACGGAGACAAAUGACGGGCUUUGUAAUUUCUUUUUCACUCUUUCGGGGGGGGGGGGGGGGGGAGCGGCUCAGACUGGAAACAGCAGAGAUUUAAAUAUAUGCAAAAUUGUUUGGGGGUUGGUGGGGGGAGAAACCUGAACGCGGGAGAAAAUUCAGCGUUUCCUCCGUGGGAGUCGGGCUGGAGGCUGGAGGGGGAGCCGGAGCCCCCACAGUCACCUUCUGGCGGAGAGAGCGGCUUUGCUGCUGAUAAGCAGGCACAGUCCUACGGGGAAGCGCUGCUUCAGCCGCAGUGAAAAGGAAAAUGCUGGUUUUUUUCAGCCCGGUUUUCCCCGGGGUUGGGGGGGGGGCACCGGCGCGAGGUAUUCCCAUCCCACCCCCACUCUCUUUUCUGGGGCUUCCAAAGCCUAGCACUUUACAGGUAUGAUGUCCUUUAAUUCUCGCACUAGCCCCAUGGGGUAGGUCGCACCCAUUGUACAGAUGGGGAAACUGAGGCUCUGUGGAGAGAAGCCCUUUGGGAAGGAUUGCAGAGUGAAUGCAGUGGGGGGGGGGAUUGGGACUCUCAGACCCCUGUGUCCUUGACCCCCACGGCCCUCAGCCAUCUCUUGCUUCAUGGCGUUUGCCCCCCAACCAUGGAGUCUGCCGCCG
Callorhinus ursinus (northern fur seal) is the source of this 8321-nucleotide non-coding RNA. NCBI's taxonomy places the organism in Eukaryota, Metazoa, Chordata, Mammalia, Carnivora, Otariidae. The record is from RefSeq and is a predicted model, not a curated record.